This 484-nucleotide ribosomal RNA is filed under the name uncultured bacterium. RNAcentral's name for it is "partial 16S ribosomal RNA". It matches the Rfam family "Bacterial small subunit ribosomal RNA", at positions 30 to 507 of the family's 1533-position model. The record is from RNAcentral.
AUUGAACGCUGGCGGCAGGCCUAACACAUGCAAGUCGAGCGGAUGAAGGGAGCUUGCUCCUGGAUUCAGCGGCGGACGGGUGAGUAAUGCCUAGGAAUCUGCCUGGUAGUGGGGGAUAACGUCCGGAAAAGGGCGCUAAUACCGCAUACGUCCUGAGGGAGAAAGUGGGGGAUCUUCGGACCUCGCGCUAUCGGAUGAGCCUACGUCGGAUUAGCUAGUUGGUGGGGUAAAGGCCUACCAAGGCGACGAUCCGUAACUGGUCUGAGAGGGUGAUCCGGCACACUGGGAGUGGAACGCGGUACAGGCACCUAGGGGCGGCAGCAGUGGCGAAGAUUGGACAAUGGGCGGAAGCCUGCUCCAGCCAUGCCGGGUGUGUGAAGAAGGUCUUCGGAUUGUAAAGCACUUUUAGUGGGGAGGACGGGCAGUAAGUUAAUCCCUUGUUGUUUUGACGUUACCAACAGAAUAAGCACCGGCUAACUUCGUG